CCCUUAACUAAAAAAAAGAUUGUUUGAGGAUUUUAAGUUUUUUUUUAGUCUCGUUUUGGUCCCUUCUGUUAGGUUUCCGUUAGUUUUAAUAAAAAACGUUAAGUGUGGACAUGUGUCACCUUGUCAUUGGCUCUGAGAUUUUUUUUUUUACAAAAAAAAAAACUCAGAGCCAAUGGCAAGGUGACACGUGUCCAGAAGUUAACUUUUUUUUAAAACCCUAACGGAAACCUAACAGAAGGGACCAAAAUGAGACUAAAAAAAAACUUAAAAUCCUCAAACAAUCUUUUUUUUAGUUAAGGGA
This 301-nucleotide microRNA precursor is filed under the name Medicago truncatula (barrel medic). Its description in RNAcentral is "MIR2655 microRNA precursor family". It matches the Rfam family "MIR2655 microRNA precursor family". Lineage: Eukaryota; Viridiplantae; Streptophyta; Magnoliopsida; Fabales; Fabaceae. The record is from Rfam by way of RNAcentral.